Molecule: long non-coding RNA, 2078 nt
Filed under: Zostera marina
Lineage: Eukaryota; Viridiplantae; Streptophyta; Magnoliopsida; Alismatales; Zosteraceae
Description: long non-coding RNA (ZMAR_LNC001825)
Source: RNAcentral
AGAUUUGGACGAAAUUGAGGAUGGAGUUAAAUCUUUAAAUAGGAGGUGUUAAAAAUAGAAAAGGGGGACGGAAAUUUGAAGGAAGAGGAAGGACUCGGCUAAGGCUUGCAAGUGUUGAGAGAAAAACUAAGAGGAAAUCAAGGUACGUGGAUAUAGCCAAUCCUUUUACUAGAAUAAUUUACAUAGUAUGAAGUGUUGUUAUUAAAAAUGAAAUGAAAUGAAAUGAUGUAAGGAUAUGAAUUAUUUUUUGUUUACGUAUUGUAUCCCCCAUUGGGUGAUUAGAGGCCUAGUUUCGUACAGCAAAGUUGUUAUUCGAUUGUUUUUUAUUCAAGGGAAGUUAAGUUUUUCUUUUUUUUCUUCUCUGUUUUCUCAAUGCUCCUACAUGUUCUUGCUGGAUAACAAAACAAAUUAAGGUUAUUCCUUGAUGGUUUAAAUAACAUUCCAGAUCUUCCUCCAUUUUUGAGUUACUCUGUUUUCUGGGUUUUUUUAUUCUGUUUUUCUGUUUUGAUAUUUCAGUAUUUUUGCUAGGUAAUAGAGGAAAUGAAUUUCUUGUCCUUGUGGUUUAAAUGAUAUCUUAGGUUUUUGUCAUUCCUUGAGUUUGUUGGUUUCUAAUUUUAUGUUCUUUAAUUUAUUUCACUGGACAGCAAAAAAUUCUUAUGAACACGGGACUAUAAUCGUGGACUGAGCUCCACAAGGUUCCAAGUUCAGGAUUUGCGCUCCCCUAGGACUAAAAACUCAUGCUUAAACCUUAGACACCCAAAUGGGGACACCCACAUGGUCGAUUUUAACCAAUAAAAUCAAAAGAUGGGUCUGAAUAUUUGUGUUGAUUGUCUGAGGUUAAACCUCAAUUCUAUAGACCUACCGUCUAUUCUAGGGUGGUGGUCGAGUAAUUUAAAGGUCUGCGUUUAGUUUUCAAGGUUUGAAUUAAACGAACGAGAGGGAAAUUAAACUCAAACCUAGUUGAUUUUAAAAGUUUGAUUUUUUUUAACAAAUGCAAAACGUUUAAUUACUCGAGGAUUUAAAUGAGAUUUCAGGUUUUAUUUUAUUUUGAGUUUUCUUUGGAUUUAAUAACGAAAAGUGUAAAGGGAAAUCAAUGAAACCUAAAGAAUCCUAACCCUAAAUUCGGAUGAAUUUAGGAAUAGAUAAUGAAAGGGGCGGGUCGAGGCAACCCUCGGAAUGGCACUCGACCUGAACCAUUCCCAUCCACCAUCGGGUUAAAUCCUAAAGGAACUCAAACCUUGAAAUUAGGGAUUUAGAGGUGAACGACGAAAGGAGAAGAUCGAGCAAAUCCCCAGGGUGACACUCAAUCCAUCCUUCUCUCUAUUCACUGAAGAUCCACCAAGGUUACGGACCAAGAUUUGGAUUGAGUGGAUCAUUCAAUCUCACCUCUCACUCAUGUCUAAUCAUACGAAAUUACGGAUCCUUAGGGAUUUGACGACACAUGAAAUGAACGGAACUUAACAGGCCUGACGAGGCUACAUGACUCGACGGGGUUUGACGGCUUGCUGGUGAGAGUUUACUCAAUGACCCAUGUAAAGGAAAAAGGGAGGGGGGUUCUUAAGAACCUCUAUUGGUAACCAAGGAGGGAUGAUACGCCCCAAAAGAAAUUCAUGAAUGAUUAGAUUUAUUAUAUAUUCACGUACUAAGUUUUUGAAACUUAUCCAUGUAAAUGACAUUUUAUUGCAGAAUAAGGGACGUUUUGGAAUGGACUGGACAGAGGGUUUCAUACAUGAAUGGGAUCCUAAGAUAUUAGUUAAAUAAAGGGUCUAUUUGAUUUCCGCUAGUACUUUGAUUUUUGUUGUGUACGCCCAUUCGAGAAUAUGAAUCUUGGUUGUUUGUUUAGAUAAAUUGGGAAUAACCCUAUUUAAAUUAAAAAAAUUCAGUUUAUUACAGAAGUGCUACCUAUAUCUGAUUUUAAAUGAUUUUGUACGUACCCGAGCAAUAAUUUCGUCUGAAUCACCAAUUUUAACAGAAUAUGUUCCAGCACGGUUCACAUGUUUGAUCAAAAAAUCGUAUUUUUCCUCUUCAGUGUUUCUUGCUAAAAAUAUUUUGUAUUUGUUUGUGAACUAGAUCAUAUU